This 27-nucleotide non-coding RNA is filed under the name Bombyx mori (domestic silkworm). The record is from RNAcentral. Lineage: Eukaryota; Metazoa; Arthropoda; Insecta; Lepidoptera; Bombycidae.
UAGAUCAUUGAAAGAGGUAGGUCCGCG